GACGAACGCUGGCGGCGUGCCUAAUACAUGCAAGUAGGACGCACAGUCUAUACCGUAGCUUGCUACACCAUAGGCUGUGAGUUGCGAACGGGUGAGUAACGCGUAGGUAACCUGCCUAUUAGAGGGGGAUAACUAUUGGAAACGAUAGCUAAUACCGCAUAACAGUAUGUAACACAUGUUAGAUGCUUGAAAGAUGCAAUUGCAUCGCUAGUAGAUGGACCUGCGUUGUAUUAGCUAGUAGGUAGGGUAAUGGCCUACCUAGGCGACGAUACAUAGCCGACCUGAGAGGGUGGUCGGCCACACUGGGACUGAGACACGGCCCAGACUCCUACGGGAGGCAGCAGUAGGGAAACUUCGGCAAUGGGGGGAACCCUGAACGAGCAACGCCGCGUGAGGGAAGAAGGUUUUCGGAUCGUAAAGCUCUGUUGUUAAGGAAGAACGAGUGUGAGAAUGGAAAGUUCAUACUGUGACGGUACUUAACCAGAAAGGGACGGCUAACUACGUG
Molecule: ribosomal RNA, 505 nt
Filed under: uncultured bacterium
Lineage: Bacteria
Description: partial 16S ribosomal RNA
Rfam family: Bacterial small subunit ribosomal RNA
Source: RNAcentral